GUCAAAAUUGCCACUUCUGAAUUUUUUAAACCACUCAAAGCACUGUGAUUUACCAAGAGCAUGCUCGCCGUAAGCUUCGACAAGCAUUCGAUGCGAUUCUGCAGCAGUUUUCUUCAAAUGGUAACAGAAAAUCAAUGCUGUCCGCAAAUCGUAGUUUCCAGGCACAAAAUUCGACAUGUUCAACGCUAUUACAAACUAUGCUGUUGUAUGAAACUUGUAUUGUUGCAAAUUCCGGUUUCAUACUUACAGAUCUGAUA
Molecule: unclassified non-coding RNA, 257 nt
Filed under: Bombus terrestris (buff-tailed bumblebee)
Lineage: Eukaryota; Metazoa; Arthropoda; Insecta; Hymenoptera; Apidae
Description: misc RNA ENSBTSG00005036229.1
Source: RNAcentral